UACAGAGGGUGCGAGCGUUGUCCGGAAUCACUGGGCGUAAAGGGCGCGUAGGUGGUGGCUUAAGCGUGCGGUGAAAGCUCGGGGCUCAACCCCGAGUCGGCCGUGCGAACUGGGCUCACUGGAGCAUAGUAGAGGCAGGUGGAAUUCCGGGUGUAGCGGUGGAAUGCGCAGAUAUCAGGAGGAACACCGGUGGCGAAGGCGGGUCUCUGGGCCGUAACUGACGCUGAGGAGCGAAAGCGUGGGGAGCGAACAGG
Molecule: ribosomal RNA, 254 nt
Filed under: uncultured bacterium
Lineage: Bacteria
Description: partial 16S ribosomal RNA
Rfam family: Bacterial small subunit ribosomal RNA
Source: RNAcentral